GACGAACGCUGGCGGCGUGCUUAACACAUGCAAGUCGAACGGAAAGGCCCUGCUCUUGUGGGGUGCUCGAGUGGCGAACGCGUGUGUAACACGUGAGUAACCUGUCCUUGACUUUGGGAUAACUUCAGGAAACUGGGGCUAAUACCGGAUAGGAGCUCCUGCUGCAUGGUGGGGGUUGGAAAGUUUCGGCGGUUGGGGAUGGUCUCGCGGCUUAUCAGCUUGUUGGUGGGGUAGUGGCUUACCAAGGCUUUGACGGGUAGCCGACCUGGGAGGGUGACCGGCCUCAUUGGGCCUGCGAUACGCCCCAGACUCCUACGUGCCGCAACGGUGGAGAAUAUUGCGCAGUGAGCGGAAGCCUGUUGCAACAGCGCCGCGUGCGGGAUGCUGUCCUUCGGGUUGUAAACAACUUUGGCCUGUGACGAGGCCUGAGUGACGGUACUGGAUAAAGAAGCACCGGCUAACUACGUG
This 468-nucleotide ribosomal RNA is filed under the name uncultured bacterium. Its description in RNAcentral is "partial 16S ribosomal RNA". It matches the Rfam family "Bacterial small subunit ribosomal RNA", at positions 28 to 507 of the family's 1533-position model. The record is from RNAcentral.